CGCUCCGCUCAGACUCCUCAAGCUUCCUGCUGCCUCCAAUGCAAUGGUGGAGGAUGAGCUCCACUAAGGAACACAUCCGGCUCACAGAUCUGGCUGGCAUUGCUCUGUCUUGUAACAGCAGGUUUCUCUUUACUGCCUGAUUUUCUGCUACCCCUGUGGAGGGUCAUUUCUGUGUGUGUGUAUGUUAGCUGUCAGCCAGGGAUUUGGGAAGUUUGUGCUCUGAUUCUGGGUUUCACUCCUGUGACUUGUGUGCCAGGAUUUCCUCUUCCUAUUUCCAGCUGCUUUCCCGGCUCUAAGCUCCAAGUGCUAUCACCUUCAGUUGACCAGCUGCGUCUUUGUCCCUCCCCACAUCACUUUCUGCAGCCAGGGCAGCACUCCUGGACAGGAAGCCAUGAACUUGCAAUUCCACCAUUUCUUCCAGUUGCUUUUGGAGAAUUCAGUUUCAAAGUGCGAGUUGAGGAUAACAUUCUGGCUUUCAGAAAUCAUAAAUAAUGAACGGCACAUUUGAGUCAUUAUCGGUGGUUAUCCCUCUUAGAGUCCUCUUUGGUGUGCUCCGACCUAAGGCACCCGUGGAGAAGGAGAAGGAGAUCUCAAGAGGAAAAAUCAAUGCAGGAACAAAGAAACUCUUGGGUCUAGUGAAGAGAGACUGGAUCUUGCUAGGCGAGUCAGGGAUGGGGAGCUGGAACUGGGAAAUGUUAAUUUGCAAGGGUCCCCUGUGUAGCAAGAGGAAACUGCACAUCCCUCUAGCCUGAACUCUGUCUUCAGAUCCCAGCUUCCUACACUCUCACCUGGAGAACUCCCCAAGUUCUUUCUUCUCCUUCAACAUUCCCAACAUCUGGGCUUCCUCUGGGUCCUGGUUUCAGAUGAUUUUCACAUGUCCAUUUCUUGCUUCUACCCUGGGUGAGUUAAAUUUGGAUGACAAUACCCAGAUCUUACAGUUUGAAGGAGAAUUAAAUGGAAUAAUAUGUGCAGAAGUGUUUCGUCAACAGCAAAGUGCAUUUAAAGGCAGAAUGUGCAUGUGAGACAGCCAAGUGUAAAGGGGUCCCCAGAGAAACUCCAACCGACCUGCACACUGGAAGGAGUGUGCACUGGGGUGGAGCCUCGGGAAGUUCCUGCCCUUUGCCGUAGGGAAGGAGCCUGGCCUCUCCUGUUCAGAGAUGGAAGCAGGAACUCAAUCUGUGAGGUGGGAAGCCUGUACUUGCAGGACUCUCACUCUGCUGAGUCCCUGUUUCCAGUUUUUCCCAUUUUUGCCCAAUAAAUUCUUUUUUUCUCACCCUUCACAGUGUUUGUGAGCCCAAUAUUUCACGGCCAUGUGACAAGGACCCAGCUCUUAGAUGAACUAAGGAGAAGGUACUACAACAUUUUUGGUGCUCAUAAUGUGAGGCUUGAGAAGGGUGAGUGAGAUGUAAACCAAGAAAUCUUUUUCCCUCUCAUUUCUAAGUCUUUUCAUCCUUGGACAUCUGAGGAUAGAGGAAACCAUGCCCCCACCUCCACUGGGGGUUGGGGGCCUGUCCAUGUCCUUUUUCUUCCUUUUGUGGAAUGGCCAGGUGAGCAGCAGCUCCCUACCACCAUCCCCUCCCUGCCAGGGCUGGGACACAUGGCCCAAGAAGCCCCAGGCUGCUGGUUGGUGUUUUCUCCUCCGUGCCCAUGGAGUUUCCAUUUUCCCUGGCCAGGGAGGCCAGCUCCAUCCCAAAGCAAUUAAGCUUUUCUCCCGGGUGGAGGAACCAGUUGCAUAAGAAUAAGAGGUUCUUCCCCAGGCAUUUUUAAACUUUUUUUUUUUUUCAUCCCUUUCUCCACUCUGUCAGCAGUUAACUUUUAAAAAGGAAAAAGCAAGGUUUUUCCUUUUAGAAGACGUUUUACUAGGCUAGGAAUGAUAAGAAUCACUGUUAUAUCCUCUGUAAAGUUUUAAUUGUGAAAAAGGAUUUGUGAGGCUGGUCUUAAGCUAUAGCCAAUCUGGUGUACUUUGCAUGUCUAUAUGGCUUGCAGCAAACUUCACUGCAGGCAUCCGUCUUGUUUUACAUCCUGGGGCCGUGGCCUAUAGCCCCAUGGCAAGGUUUUGUUUAGAUAUCCUGCCUUAGGAAAUGAUUCCUUUCUGGUUUAAUAUCUGCAUGUUUUCCUAGCCCCUUCUCUUAAAGGGCUCCACCCAGCAACUGGGUUUUCUUCUGCCUGUCUGUGUAGUUAUACAUGUGUUGUGCAUAAUGAUACCUGUAAAAAGAGCUCUAAUUAACUUGGCCUAAAGGAAGACAUGUGCUUGGAUAAAAUAUUUUUUAAAGGGAAGAG
This 2280-nucleotide long non-coding RNA is filed under the name Homo sapiens (human). Its description in RNAcentral is "HSALNT0324899". Lineage: Eukaryota; Metazoa; Chordata; Mammalia; Primates; Hominidae. The record is from RNAcentral.